UGCAAGUCGUGCGAAGUGGAGGGAGCUUGCUCCCAAAGCUUAGCGGCGGACGGGUGAGUAACACGUAGGCAACCUGCCUGUAAGACUGGGAUAACUCCGGGAAACCGGUGCUAAUACCAGAUAACCUGUAAGACCGCAUGGUCUUACACUAAAAGGACAUGAUCCACUUACAGAUGGGCCUGCGGCGCAUUAGCUAGUUGGUGAGGUAACGGCUCACCAAGGCGACGAUGCGUAGCCGACCUGAGAGGGUGACCGGCCACACUGGGACUGAGACACGGCCCAGACUCCUACGGGAGGCAGCAGUAGGGAAUCUUCCGCAAUGGACGAAAGUCUGACGGAGCAACGCCGCGUGAGUGAUGAAGGUUUUCGGAUUGUAAAACUCUGUUGUCAGGGAAGAAUACCCUAGAUCGACUCUAGGUCUGACGGUACCUGACGAGAAAGCCCCGGCUAACUACGUGCCAGCAGCCGCGGUAAUACGUAGGGGGCAAGCGUUGUCCGGAAUUAUUGGGCGUAAAGCGCGCGCAGGCGGUCUCUUAAGUCUGAUGUGAAAGUCCACGGCUCAACCGUGGGAUUGCAUUGGAAACUGGGAGACUUGAGUGCAGAAGAGGAGAGUGGAAUUCCUGGUGUAGCGGUGAAAUGCGUAGAGAUCAGGAGGAACACCAAUGGCGAAGGCAGCUCUCUGGUCUGUAACUGACGCUGAGGCGCGAAAGCGUGGGUAGCAAACAGGAUUAGAUACCCUGGUAGUCCACGCCGUAAACGAUGAGUGCUAGGUGUUAGGGGUUUCAAUACCCUUAGUGCCGAAGUUAACACAUUAAGCACUCCGCCUGG
This 828-nucleotide ribosomal RNA is filed under the name uncultured Bacillaceae bacterium. RNAcentral describes it as "bacterial SSU rRNA". It matches the Rfam family "Bacterial small subunit ribosomal RNA", at positions 56 to 876 of the family's 1533-position model. Lineage: Bacteria; Bacillati; Bacillota; Bacilli; Caryophanales; Bacillaceae. The record is from RNAcentral.